GGACACUCUACUCGUACCAGUGGUGAAGAUCAUGAUCCUUCAUGGAAUCCCUCACAUAUAGGGGAUGGUUCAGCUAGACCUAAUGAUGGAAAUGGUGGUACGCCAUCCUCUUCUGAAGCUAAUAGCGUUACCAGGCUUGCUUCAAUCGACUCAUUUGAUUCAAAAUGGAAGCAGUUUUUGGAGCCUGGUGAAUCUGUUCUUAUGAUCUCCAAUGUGAAA
Molecule: unclassified non-coding RNA, 219 nt
Filed under: Hevea brasiliensis (rubber tree)
Lineage: Eukaryota; Viridiplantae; Streptophyta; Magnoliopsida; Malpighiales; Euphorbiaceae
Source: RNAcentral